AGCGGCGGACGGGUGAGUAACGCGUGGGAACGUGCCCUUUGCUACGGAAUAGCCUCGGGAAACUGAGAGUAAUACCGUAUGUGCCCCCCCGAUCAAAUUCCGUUUGGGCGACGGGAUGGUUGUUCUGUCGGAUGCCUGCGGCAUUUGAUGGGGGGGGAAAGAUUUAUCGGCAAGGGAUCGGCCCGCGUUGGAUUAGGUAGUUGGUGGGGUAAUGGCCUACCAAGCCGACGAUCCAUAGCUGGUUUGAGAGGAUGAUCAGCCACACUGGGACUGAGACACGGCCCAGACUCCUACGGGAGGCAGCAGUGGGGAAUCUUAGACAAUGGGGGAAACCCUGAUCUAGCCAUGCCGCGUGAGCGAUGAAGGCCUUAGGGUUGUAAAGCUCUUUCAGUGGGGAAGAUAAUGACGGUACCCACAGAAGAAGCCCCGGCUAACUCCGUGCCAGCAGCCGCGGUAAUACGGAGGGGGCUAGCGUUGUUCGGAAUUACUGGGCGUAAAGCGCACGUAGGCGGACGGACAAGUCAGAGGUGAAAUCCCGGGGCUCAACCCUGGAACUGCCUUUGAAACUGUCUGUCUUGAGGUCGGGAGAGGUGAGUGGAAUUCCGAGUGUAGAGGUGAAAUUCGUAGAUAUUCGGAGGAACACCGGUGGCGAAGGCGGCUCACUGGCCCGAUACUGACGCUGAGGUGCGAAAGCGUGGGG
This 700-nucleotide ribosomal RNA is filed under the name uncultured bacterium. Its description in RNAcentral is "bacterial SSU rRNA". It matches the Rfam family "Bacterial small subunit ribosomal RNA", at positions 94 to 766 of the family's 1533-position model. The record is from RNAcentral.